AAUAAAAAAAAUUAAUUAGUAGAAAAUUAAAUGUUAAGUCAUUAAAUUUAUAAAAUUUGGCGGUAUUUUUUAAAAUUAGAGGAAUCUGUAAAUUAAUUGAUGAUCCACGAUAAGAAAUACUUAAUUUUAUUAUUUAUGUAUUGCUGUUUUAAAAAUUUUAUUAAGUAGAAUUUUUGAAUUAAAAUUUUAAUUUAAUUCAAGUCAAAAUAUAGUUUAUUUAAGUUUUUAUGGAUUACAAUUUUUAUUAAUAAUGAAUAAUUUAAUUUAAGUUAAAUUUAAAAUUGGAUUUAAUAGUAAAUUUAAUAAAUUAAUUAAUUUGAAGAAAAAUUUAAAAUAUGU
RNAcentral lists this ribosomal RNA (339 nucleotides) under Polistes geminatus geminatus. RNAcentral's name for it is "partial 12S ribosomal RNA". Lineage: Eukaryota; Metazoa; Arthropoda; Insecta; Hymenoptera; Vespidae. The record is from RNAcentral.